RNAcentral lists this ribosomal RNA (481 nucleotides) under uncultured Actinomycetes bacterium. RNAcentral describes it as "bacterial SSU rRNA". It matches the Rfam family "Bacterial small subunit ribosomal RNA", at positions 235 to 732 of the family's 1533-position model. Lineage: Bacteria; Bacillati; Actinomycetota; Actinomycetes. The record is from RNAcentral.
GGCCUAUCAGCUUGUUGGUGGGGUAACGGCCCACCAAGGCUCCGACGGGUAGCUGGUCUGAGAGGACGACCAGCCACACUGGGACUGAGACACGGCCCAGACUCCUACGGGAGGCAGCAGUGGGGAAUCUUGCGCAAUGGGCGAAAGCCUGACGCAGCAACGCCGCGUGGGGGACGAAGGCCUUCGGGUUGUAAACCCCUUUCAGCAGGGACGAACAUGACGGUACCUGCAGAAGAAGCCCCGGCCAACUACGUGCCAGCAGCCGCGGUAAUACGUAGGGGGCGAGCGUUGUCCGGAUUUAUUGGGCGUAAAGAGCUCGUAGGCGGUUUGGCAAGUCGGGUGUGAAAACUCCGGGCUCAACUCGGAGACGCCACUCGAUACUGCUAUGACUCGAGUCCGGUAGGGGAGUGCGGAAUUCCUGGUGUAGCGGUGAAAUGCGCAGAUAUCAGGAGGAACACCGGUGGCGAAGGCGGCACUCUGG